GCUCGCAGAUGGGUCAGGGACUCUGGAGAAUUGCUAGAAACCAGCAAUUGCAACAGCAAGGAUACAGUGGACAAGGCUAUCUUAGCAGAGAGCAUGGUAGGAGGAUACCUGCUAACAAUGUUUCCAGUACAAGCCACCGAAAGCAAGCCCAAGGAGGCAUUGACAUUUACCACCUGCUGAAGGCAAGAAAAUCUAAAGAACAAGAAGGAUUCAUUAACCUGGAAAUGUUGCCACCAGAGCUUAGUUUUACCAUUUUGUCAUACCUGAAUGCAACUGAUCUCUGUCUAGCAUCAUGUGUCUGGCAGGAUCUGGCAAAUGAUGAGCUCCUCUGGCAAGGGUUGUGCAAAUCCACUUGGGGUCACUGUUCUAUAUACAAUAAGAAUCCGCCUCUAGGAUUUUCUUUUAGAAAAUUGUAUAUGCAGCUAGAUGAGGGCAGUCUCACCUUUAAUGCCAACCCUGAUGAGGGAGUCAACUACUUUAUGUCCAAAGGCAUACUAGAUGAUUCGCCGAAAGAAAUAGCUAAGUUUAUCUUUUGCACAAGAACACUGAAUUGGAAGAAGCUGAGAAUCUACCUUGAUGAAAGGAGAGAUGUUUUGGAUGACCUUGUGACGCUGCACAACUUCAGAAAUCAGUUCUUGCCAAAUGCACUGAGAGAGUUCUUCAGACACAUUCACGCUCCUGAGGAGCGUGGGGAGUACCUUGAAACUCUCAUAACAAAGUUCUCUCACAGAUUCUGUGCUUGUAAUCCUGAUUUGAUGAGAGAGCUUGGCCUUAGCCCUGAUGCAGUGUAUGUACUGUGUUACUCUUUGAUUCUACUUUCAAUUGAUCUAACGAGCCCUCACGUGAAGAACAAAAUGUCAAAGAGGGAAUUCAUCCGGAAUACGCGACGAGCUGCACAGAACAUUAGUGAAGAUUUUGUAGGGCACCUUUAUGACAACAUCUACCUUAUUGGCCAUGUGGCUGCCUAAAAGCACAAUUUGCUAGCACUUAAAAUUUGUAAUUUUCAAAAACUACAUCAAUUCAAGAUAUUAAUUAUUUUGUAGAGAUGGGGGUUAUUUUAGUGCUGGUCAUUCUAACCUCUGUAUGCAAUCAAAGUUUGUGUGUGUAAGUGUGUGUAUGUGUAAACUACUUUUCUAUCUUAUUUACUGUGGGAACAGAAGGAUUUUGUUUUCUUUUUUUUUUUUUUUUAGUUUUGCACAAAACAAUGCCAUUAGUCUGACACAGCCAUUUCUGAAUGUUAAACUGACAUUACAGCCCAAGCUGAAAAAGCGGUGAAUUUGUGCAUUAGAUCUGCUUGAAACUUUAAUAAGUUCAUUCUUUUUAGAAUACCAUGUAAUGUGUAUAUAUUUAACAAAAGAGAUUUAUAAUCAUAAUUAUUUUAUUGUAAAGUAUUUUAACUAAAAUUUCUCCCUUUAUCUCUUAAAUUAGUGUUUGACUUUCGUUUGCAUUUUUUUACAAUGCUGACUACCUCAGGUACUUAAGUUAGAGGAACAUUGGUCUGAAUGCUACAAUAAAGUUUAUUCUAGGAGAUGAUAGAACACUUGUAAAAUAUCUAAGCUGGUAUUUUAUACUGUAUUUAUUAACUUGAAUUAGCAAGUUGCCAAUCUGCUAUUCACUCAAUUUUAAAUAUUGCAGGCUCUAUUUUAGAUGAACCCUGGUGCCAUACAGGGGUAGCCAGGGGAAAUCAUGCAGUGUACAGAGAGGUUUACAAUAUUUACAUACAUAACCUAUUUUGCAGAUACUAGUUUUUGGGGAACAGGGCAACUACAAUCAUCUAUUCAGUGCAGUAAGCAAGAAAAAAUCUGGACAGGGAAAGUGGUUGGAGUGAAUAAAGUGUGGCUUUCAACUGGUUCCCUCAGUCUAGAAGUGUCAAUGAUGGAAAUGCCUUGGCAAAUGUAUACCAGAUGACUCGUUGCUAAAGCUGUUAAAAACUGACGGUGCAAGAUUAGAGCAGUGACUGUGCAGGAUUGGAGAACUGAAUAAAUUCAGAUUCAGAUAUUGAAUUACUUUCUAAGUUGGAUUUUAAAGAGCUCUAAAUUUAUGGAAAUACUUCUGAAAUUACUUGGUUAGGUUUCGUCUUGACAUGUUCUGAAGUGUGGAGAGUAUUACCAGUGGAACUGCUGUGCAUGUGCAGGAAUUGAAUAAGGAUUUGCCUAGUUUUUGUUCAGACAACUCACAGAGCAGUGCUAUUCUUAAGUUGACAUAACAGGUAGUUGAAGUAAGAGCUGUUCCUGAUUGUUUACAUAAUAUUCAGCUAUCAGUAGCAUCUAGAUACAUCAUGGUAACAAGUAUAUUUAUUCUUUUUCCCUACCAUACCAUGAGGUGAGGUGGGAAGGUAUUCAUAAUCUGUAAAACAGAACUAAUCUGAGUUUUUAUGUAGAAAGCCUGUUGCAGAGCCAAGAAUUCAAUUCAGGAAUGACCCCUCACACCAUGCACUUUGCCUAUGCUGCUGCUUUCUGUUUGGCACUAGGGAGUGUUAUGUUUGUUUUGGAUGUGAGGACAGUCCGUACAAGGGCUACAUAAAUCAUGGGAAGAUAAAGAUGUAGCUAUCACUGCUAUUUCAAGUGUUUAUAACUCUGCUCCACAAACUGAAAUGCAUGCAGAAAAAGUACUUUUUUAUGACAUUACCUUUAAUCACAUGUAAAUGCCAUUGCAUUUAUGUAGCACACAGAGCCAAAGCCAGGAGCCAGCAGUACUGCGGCCAUGUUCAGGCAGGGUUACAGUAUCACCUGCCUUGCUCAGGAUAACUACUCUUCACCCAGUGUUGUUUCAUUUAUUGCAGAAAGCCCAAGGAUGUGAUCUGCAGUGGUCAAUUAAUCUCGAACACAAAUUAAGAGUUCAUGGUGCAGUGGGGAGCUUUGUUUAAGACACAGGUAUCUGCUUCUGUAUGAUAGGAAAAAAAAUGGAAAACUUAUAAUUUAUAAAACUAACAAUAAAGGACAAAUGUCUCUGGGCUCUUUAAAGUGGUCUGAAGUGAAGAGGGAAGAAUAUAGUUUUCUAAGAAACACUCCUCAAAGGUUACACACUUUAAAAGAAUAAUUCAGUGAAUUUUGAAAUUAGAACUUUUCUUGUUAGAAAAUAUUUUUUCCUCAAACCACAAAUGCAGAGCAAGGCUUAAUUCUGUUCUGACUUAUUAGUUGACAUUAGUGAUACUGGUAUUGAUUUUGCACUAGUAAGAGAGUAUGAAUUGUUAGUCUGCAUUUCUCUUAAUUUCCAGUUACCCUGAUACAGAGUAAAACCUUCAGGCAGACAGAACAUGUUUUUUCUGGAAUAGAUGAGUACAUCUAUUAGCAAGAUUUAGAAAACUUGGGCCAGUGUAGCAGCCAAGAAGAUAAAUUAGAAACAGAAUAAUACAAUUCAAGUUUCCAUAAGACAAGUCCAGGGGAAAAGAAAACAAAACCCUAAUGACAUGCAGAUAACAGCAUCUGAUCUUCAUAACAGGAUUUUGAGCAGUGUUAGAGGAUUAGUACCCAACUCAUGUUAUGUUACUAACACAGAGUGCAACAGAAAACAGCAAACACAGCAUGCCAAGUGUGAAUUCCCUCAGAGGCAACCACAAAACAACUAAUUAAUACGAACAUUUCUUCUGUCCUUUUUCCAGUUUGAGUCAAGCUCUAAAGUGGCUGAGAAGUAAUUUUUUGCAUUUUAGCAAUCUAGACUUCACAUGAAGUUAAACAUUUUUCUGCCUUAAAAGGAGAAAAAAGUCUUAAUUAGGUGUAAUAAUACUCUUUAAAAAAUGACAAAAAUAGUCUUGAUUGUCCUCCAAAACUUUAAAAAACAAAGUUUUGGGCAGUGUUUUCUUCAAUGCACUUGGUGUUUCCACGCACAUUUUAAAAUAAUGCUUCAUUGAUCCAGGUGUCCCUAAAUGAUGUGAUGUGGAAAUAGCUGCUUGAUCAAGCACUUCAGAAGAUUUAGGUAGAGGGUCUCAAGCUGAAUUACAUGAGCAUGAUCAUGCUUAUAACUGCAAAGUGAUUCCCAAGCUGUUGUGUUUCCACCACUGCAUGUCCUUUGAACUUUGGCCGUGUGGUGUUGCCUUAACUCUUAACUGUAUGCACUGUACACAGCACUGAGGGAAGAAGUGAGCCUGCAGCCCAUCCCCCUGCAAACACUCACUGUUCUGUCCUAAAAGACACUGGAAUUGUUCUGAAUGGUCAUUUCUGAAAGUUUGGUAGCUUCAUUACACACAGAUACGAUAAAAAGACUUUUCUGUUCAUGUUGGGAAAAUGAGUGUACCUGUGUCCAUGUGAAGUGUCACACAAAUGCAGCUCAUGUUUGCUUUGAUUAAAGUCUGAGGCUCUGAUUGCAUUUAUUGAAGGAAUAUGGCAUAUAUUAGAUAUUCACAUGGCUUAGCUGUAGAUAGCAUCUGAUAUUAUCUGUUUUCUCAAGUUAUUUCUGUCUAGAAUACUUUCCGUUCAAACUCUAAACAACACAUUUAUACAGUUUUGACUUUUUAAAAUAAAUCAAAACUGCUGCAACAUACAGAAGCCCAAAUACAAGUUUGAGACAUGUUUGUUGAUUUUGAAGCAAGUGAGAAGUUUGCAUUCAGGAAAAAAAAAUCCAAUUUUUUCUCUUUAAACUUACCCUUCCACUCUCCAUAUUGGAAAAAGAAAAAAUGUAAACAGUUUCAAAAUACAGCUUUAAGAAAAUAAAAUGACUUGCUGGA
RNA transcript from Ficedula albicollis (Collared flycatcher), 4663 nucleotides. It is a transcript of the gene named F-box protein 8, with no coding region annotated. The record is from RefSeq and is a predicted model, not a curated record. The transcript has 6 exons. Lineage: Eukaryota; Metazoa; Chordata; Aves; Passeriformes; Muscicapidae.